Molecule: ribosomal RNA, 460 nt
Filed under: uncultured bacterium
Lineage: Bacteria
Description: partial 16S ribosomal RNA
Rfam family: Bacterial small subunit ribosomal RNA
Source: RNAcentral
CCUACGGGAGGCAGCAGUGAGGAAUAUUGGUCAAUGGACGAGAGUCUGAACCAGCCAAGUCGCGUGAAGGAUGACUGCCCUAUGGGUUGUAAACUUCUUUUAUAAAGGAAUAAAACGAGGCACGUGUGCCUUUUUGCAAGUACUUUAUGAAUAAGGAUCGGCUAACUCCGUGCCAGCAGCCGCGGUAAUACGGAGGAUCCGAGCGUUAUCCGGAUUUAUUGGGUUUAAAGGGCGCGUAGGUGGGUUGUUAAGUCAGUGGUGAAAGUUUGAGGCUCAACCGUAAAAUUGCAAUUGAUACUGGCAGUCUUGAGGAUAGUUGAGGUAGGCGGAAUGUGUGGUGUAGCGGUGAAAUGCUUAGAUAUCACGAAGAACCCCGAUUGCGAAGGCAGCUUACUAAGCUGUGACUGACGUUGAUGCUCGAAAGUGUGGGUAUCAAACAGGAUUAGACACCCUAGUAGUC